RNAcentral lists this ribosomal RNA (656 nucleotides) under uncultured bacterium. Its description in RNAcentral is "bacterial SSU rRNA". It matches the Rfam family "Bacterial small subunit ribosomal RNA", at positions 139 to 813 of the family's 1533-position model. The record is from RNAcentral.
GGGGACAACAGCCAGAAAUGGCUGCUAAUACCGCAUAAUCCUGCGCUGCCGCAUGGCAGCGCAGGGAAAACUUCGGUGGUACAGGAUGGUCCCGCGUCUGAUUAGCUUGUUGGCGGGGUAACGGCCCACCAAGGCGACGAUCAGUAGCCGGCUUGAGAGGGCGGACGGCCACAUUGGGACUGAGACACGGCCCAGACUCCUGCGGGAGGCAGCAGUGGGGAAUAUUGCACAAUGGGGGGAACCCUGAUGCAGCAAUGCCGCGUGGGUGAAGAAGUACCCCGGUAUGUAAAGCCCUGUCAGCAGGGAAGAAAAUGACGGUACCUGACUAAGAAGCCCCGGCUAACUACGUGCCAGCAGCCGCGGUAAUACGUAGGGGGCGAGCGUUAUCCGGAUUUACUGGGUGUAAGGGGAGCGCAGGCGGCGUGGCAAGUCAGAUGUGAAAACCCGGGGCCCAACCCCGGGACUGCAUUUGAAACUGCCAUGCUGGAGUGCCGGAGAGGCAAGUGGAAUUCCUAGUGUAGCGGUGAAAUGCGUAGAUAUUAGGAGGAACACCAGUGGCGGAGGCGGCUUGCUGGACGGUAACUGACGCUGAGGCUCGAAAGCGUGGGGAGCAAACAGGAUUAGAUACCCUGGUAGUCCACGCCGUAAACGAUGAA